CGAUAUAUCCGGUAUUAGAGUCAGUGCACCACUGAAGAGGAGUCUUGGGCGUUGCUCCAUGAGGAAAGAGUAUGAAUUUUUUGAUUUUGCCGAGUUCCUGGAUAUCCUGAUGAUGGCUUUCUUCACGACUUCCGUCUUGAUGAAUCUUCUCCUACAAGGCAGCCUCCUACCUGGUGUUGUCCAUCCUCCUACUUGACUGUCGGAAGAAGAGUAUAUCUGCGAACGGUGAGUCGCAUGUUUUAUGGUUCCUCUGGUGCCCAAUCAUGUCGUAGGACGAAUGGUC
Long non-coding RNA from Osmia bicornis bicornis, 283 nucleotides. RefSeq lists it as uncharacterized. The record is from RefSeq and is a predicted model, not a curated record. NCBI's taxonomy places the organism in Eukaryota, Metazoa, Arthropoda, Insecta, Hymenoptera, Megachilidae. The transcript is spliced from 3 exons.